AUUUUGUAAACUAAAUUAUUUUCAAAAAUAUCUGUUACUUUUGAUUUUACUGACUACUGUAUCAUAAACAAAAAUUACUUUUCAAUAGUAUGCAACAUGGGGGUUGCCAUGUUUUUCACAAAGUAAACUUGCAUUUUUGUUAGCUUCGUUAGACUUUUGUAUGAUAUGUCACAGUUAUGGAGCAUAUGCAGUGCAUAGUAAAAUUUUUUGACCACCUCAUUAAAACUGAGUUUAAUAUGUUAGACUUUUUGAACACACUCGUAGACAAAAUUCAUAUUUCAAAUAAUCCAUUAUUUCAUAUGAUGAAACUGCCUAAUAUCAAUUUGAAAUCUUAUACUACCCACUUAUAUAAAGCAUUAGAUUUAUUGUGUUCUUUAUUAGACAGUUGCUUGAUGAUGCAUUUAU
Molecule: long non-coding RNA, 405 nt
Filed under: Androctonus crassicauda
Lineage: Eukaryota; Metazoa; Arthropoda; Arachnida; Scorpiones; Buthidae
Source: RNAcentral